UGGGGAAUCUUGCGCAAUGGGCGAAAGCCUGACGCAGCAACGCCGCGUGGGGGAUGACGGCCUUCGGGUUGUAAACCUCUUUCGACACUGACGAAGCCUGUCUUACUGGGCAGGUGACGGUAGGUGUAGAAGAAGCACCGGCUGACUACGUGCCAGCAGCCGCGGUAAUACGUAGGGUGCGAGCGUUGUCCGGAUUUAUUGGGCGUAAAGAGCUCGUAGGCGGUUUGUCGCGUCGCUCGUGAAAACCUACAGCUUAACUGUGGGCUUGCGGUCGAUACGGGCAGACUUGAGUUCGGCAGGGGAGACUGGAAUUCCUGGUGUAGCGGUGAAAUGCGCAGAUAUCAGGAGGAACACCGGUGGCGAAGGCGGGUCUCUGGGCCGAUACUGACGCUGAGGAGCGAAAGCGUGGGGAGCGAACAGG
Molecule: ribosomal RNA, 421 nt
Filed under: uncultured bacterium
Lineage: Bacteria
Description: bacterial SSU rRNA
Rfam family: Bacterial small subunit ribosomal RNA
Source: RNAcentral